This 253-nucleotide ribosomal RNA is filed under the name uncultured bacterium. RNAcentral's name for it is "partial 16S ribosomal RNA". It matches the Rfam family "Bacterial small subunit ribosomal RNA", at positions 524 to 776 of the family's 1533-position model. The record is from RNAcentral.
UACGAAGGGUGCAAGCGUUACUCGGAAUUACUGGGCGUAAAGCGUGCGUAGGCGGUUUGUUAAGUCCGCUGUGAAAGCCCUGGGCUCAACCUGGGAAUUGCAGUGGAUACUGGCAAGCUAGAGUGCGGUAGAGGAUGGUGGAAUUCCCGGUGUAGAGGUGAAAUUCGUAGAUAUGGGGAGGAACCCCGGUGGCGAAGGCGGCCACCUGGACGGUCACUGACGCUGAGACGCGAAAGCGUGGGGAGCAAACAGG